GUAACAUAUAUAUAACAAUAUUUUAAUUUUAUAGUGAAGUGGGGAAACGUUCCAUGUGAACAUCACUUGGACAUGGUCGGUUAGUCGAUCCUAAGAGAUGGAAAAUCCUUGUAUCAAGGGUGCACUCUGCAUGAACAUCGAAAGAUAAUUGGGUUAAUAUUUCUGAACCAGGACAUGGUGGUGGACGACAAUGUUAGGAAAUAUGGAGAUGUCAUCGAGGGCCUAGGAAGAGUUAUCUUUUCUUUUUAAUGACUUUCCCACCCUGAAAUCGGUUCAACCAGAGAUAGGGUCCAACAUCUGAAAGAUCACCACAAAUCUUGUGGUGUUUGGUGCUCCCUUGGUGGCCAUUGUAAAUAUGGUGAACCGAGUACCAUCCAUGCCCGAUCGUACUCAUAUCUGCCUCCUUCAAUUUUUCAAUGUCCACUAGGUUAGCAAUCUUGAUGA
Picea glauca (white spruce) is the source of this 444-nucleotide non-coding RNA. Lineage: Eukaryota; Viridiplantae; Streptophyta; Pinopsida; Pinales; Pinaceae. The record is from Rfam.